This 476-nucleotide ribosomal RNA is filed under the name uncultured bacterium. Its description in RNAcentral is "bacterial SSU rRNA". It matches the Rfam family "Bacterial small subunit ribosomal RNA", at positions 30 to 524 of the family's 1533-position model. The record is from RNAcentral.
AUUGAACGCUGGCGGCGUGCUUAACACAUGCAAGUCGAGCGGUAACAGGUGUAGCAAUACAUGCUGACGAGCGGCGAACGGGUGAGUAAUGCUUCGGAAUCUUCCUCGUAGUGGGGAAUAACCUGGGGAAACUCAGGCUAAUACCGCAUACGAACUACGGUUGAAAGCAGGGGAUCGCAAGACCUUGCGCUAUGAGAUGAGCCGAAGUCGGAUUAGCUAGUUGGUGAGGUAAAGGCUCACCAAGGCGACGAUCCGUAGCUGGUCUGAGAGGACGACCAGCCACACUGGGACUGAGACACGGCCCAGACUCCUACGGGAGGCAGCAGUGGGGAAUCUUGCGCAAUGGGGGCAACCCUGACGCAGCCAUGCCGCGUGAACGAUGAAGGCCUUAGGGUUGUAAAGUUCUUUUACCCGUGACGAUGAUGACGGUAACGGGGAUAAGCUCCGGCUAACUUCGUGCCAGCAGCCGCGGUAAU